GACGAACGCUGGCGGCGUGCCUAAUACAUGCAAGUAGAACGCUGAAGGAGGAGCUUGCUNUUCUGGAUGAGUUGCGAACGGGUGAGUAACGCGUAGGUAACCUGCCUGGUAGCGGGGGAUAACUAUUGGAAACGAUAGCUAAUACCGCAUAAGAGUAGAUGUUGCAUGACAUUUGCUUAAAAGGUGCAAUUGCAUCACUACCAGAUGGACCUGCGUUGUAUUAGUUAGUUGGUGAGGUAACGGCUCACCAAGGCGACGAUACAUAGCCGACCUGAGAGGGUGAUCGGCCACACUGGGACUGAGACACGGCCCAGACUCCUACGGGAGGCAGCAGUAGGGAAUCUUCGGCAAUGGACGGAAGUCUGACCGAGCAACGCCGCGUGAGUGAAGAAGGUUUUCGGAUCGUAAAGCUCUGUUGUAAGAGAAGAACGAGUGUGAGAGUGGAAAGUUCACACNGNGACGG
RNAcentral lists this ribosomal RNA (463 nucleotides) under uncultured bacterium. Its description in RNAcentral is "bacterial SSU rRNA". It matches the Rfam family "Bacterial small subunit ribosomal RNA", at positions 28 to 475 of the family's 1533-position model. The record is from RNAcentral.